This 460-nucleotide ribosomal RNA is filed under the name uncultured bacterium. RNAcentral describes it as "partial 16S ribosomal RNA". It matches the Rfam family "Bacterial small subunit ribosomal RNA", at positions 338 to 795 of the family's 1533-position model. The record is from RNAcentral.
CCUACGGGGGGCUGCAGUGAGGAAUAUUGGUCAAUGGACGAGAGUCUGAACCAGCCAAGUAGCGUGAAGGAUGACUGCCCUAUGGGUUGUAAACUUCUUUUAUAUGGGAAUAAAAUGUUCCACGUGUGGGAUUUUGUAUGUACCAUAUGAAUACGGAUCGGCUAACUCCGGGCCAGCAGCCGCGGUAAUACGGAGGAUCCGAGCGUUAUCCGGAUUUAUUGGGUUUAAAGGGAGCGUAGGUGGAUUGUUAAGUCAGUUGUGAAAGUUUGCGGCUCAACCGUAAAAUUGCAGUUGAAACUGGCAGUCUAGAGUACAGUAGAGGUGGGCGGAAUUCGUGGUGUAGCGGUGAAAUGCUUAGAUAUCACGAAGAACUCCGAUUGCGAAGGCAGCUCACUGGACUGCAACUGACACUGAGGCUCGAAAGUGUGGGUAUCAAACAGGAUUAGAUACCCUUGUAGUC